GAUGAACGCUAGCGGCAGGCUUAAUACAUGCAAGUCGUGGGCAGCAUGAGUAGCAAUACUUGAUGGCGACCGGCAAACGGGUGCGGAACACGUACACAACCUUCCGAUAAGUGGGGAAUAGCCCAGAGAAAUUUGGAUUAAUACCCCGUAACAUAUAGAGUAGGCAUCUUCUUUAUAUUAUAGCUUCGGCGCUUAUUGAUGGGUGUGCGUCUGAUUAGGUAGUUGGCGGGGUAACGGCCCACCAAGCCUACGAUCAGUAGCUGAUGUGAGAGCAUGGUCAGCCACACGGGCACUGGGACACGGGCCCGACUCCUACGGGAGGCAGCAGUAAGGAAUAUUGGACAAUGGGCGAAAGCCUGAUCCAGCCAUGCCGCGUGAAGGAUUAAGGUCCUCUGGAUUGUAAACUUCUUUUAUUUGGGACGAAAAAAGGGAAUUCUUUCCACUUGACGGUACCAAGUGAAUAAGCACCGGCUAACUCCGUGCCAGCCGCCGCAGUAA
This 498-nucleotide ribosomal RNA is filed under the name uncultured bacterium. RNAcentral's name for it is "partial 16S ribosomal RNA". It matches the Rfam family "Bacterial small subunit ribosomal RNA", at positions 28 to 523 of the family's 1533-position model. The record is from RNAcentral.